Molecule: ribosomal RNA, 172 nt
Filed under: uncultured Prevotella sp.
Lineage: Bacteria; Pseudomonadati; Bacteroidota; Bacteroidia; Bacteroidales; Prevotellaceae
Description: partial 16S ribosomal RNA
Rfam family: Bacterial small subunit ribosomal RNA
Source: RNAcentral
UGAGGAAUAUUGGUCAAUGGGCGCAAGCCUGAACCAGCCAAGUAGCGUGCAGGAAGACGGCCCUAUGGGUUGUAAACUGCUUUUAUACGAGAAUAAUUUGAUGCACGUGUGCGUUAUUGCAUGUAUCGUAUGAAUAAGGACCGGCUAAUUCCGUGCCAGCAGCCGCGGUAAU